Xenopus laevis (African clawed frog) is the source of this 72-nucleotide non-coding RNA. The record is from Rfam. NCBI's taxonomy places the organism in Eukaryota, Metazoa, Chordata, Amphibia, Anura, Pipidae.
CGGAAGCUGGUUUCAUGUGGUGACUUAGAUUUAUUCAUCUCUGUUUCUAGCACCAUUUGAAAUCAGUGUUCU